Molecule: transfer RNA, 72 nt
Filed under: Patescibacteria group bacterium
Lineage: Bacteria
Description: tRNA-Pro
Rfam family: tRNA
About the family: Transfer RNA (tRNA) molecules are approximately 80 nucleotides in length.
Source: RNAcentral
CGGGCUGUGGCGCAGUGGUAGCGCGCGCGCAUGGGGUGCGUGAGGUCGUGGGUUCAAAUCCCGCCAGCCCGA